Molecule: long non-coding RNA, 762 nt
Organism: Magnolia sinica
Lineage: Eukaryota; Viridiplantae; Streptophyta; Magnoliopsida; Magnoliales; Magnoliaceae
Exons: 3
Source: RefSeq, a predicted model, not a curated record
UUUCCCCUAGGGAGCUGGACGUGCUUUCUCUGCUGGUGGGAAUCUAAAGAUGUUCUAUGAUGGGAGGUCAGAUGAUUCCUGUCUCGAAGUUGUGUAUAGAAUGUAUUGGCUAUGUUAUCACAUUCACACAUAUAGGAAAGCCCAGAUAGCGCUUGUUCAUGGACUUGUCAUGGGUGGAGGUGCAUCACUGACUGCUCCAUUAAAAUUCUCGGCUGUCACUGAGAAGACUCUGUGUAUCCCUGACAUGUCCUAUGUAUAUAUUCUUUUCUUUUUUUUUUUUCCACCUUUUUUCCUAGUUUUCGCUUCUACUUGAAAGUUCAAAUGCUUGAACUAGGGUAUGAGAAAUCAUUCCAGUGGAGAUCUAAUCCUAUGGAUGUCAUAUUUAAAUCUAUGGAUGCACAUUUUAUAGGUGAUAUAUUCUCAAGAUUUUCUUUGGUUUAGGUUUUUGCUGUUCCUGAAGCAAGUAUUGGAUUUCACACUGAUUGCAGCUUUUCGUACAUUGUCUCACGGCUUCCUGGACAUUUAGGUAAGCACAGAGUGAAAUGGCAUGAAUGGGUGGUCUGUUGUGAUGUAACAGUGACAUGGGGUCAAGCCUCUCAACCAGAAGCAUAUGAUUUUCAUAGAUUGAAAAAAAGGAAAAAAGAAAAGAGAGAUGUUUUUCUCAUGCUACAGUGCCCACAACUAACUACCACAAUCAAGCUAAAAUUAUAGUUAUUGCAUAUCUUUUAUAGGCUUGUAUAGAGUUUGAGAACUUUCUUGGAU